Meleagris gallopavo (turkey) is the source of this 822-nucleotide non-coding RNA. Lineage: Eukaryota; Metazoa; Chordata; Aves; Galliformes; Phasianidae. The record is from RefSeq and is a predicted model, not a curated record.
GAUCUCCCUGGAGAUCUGCUCCAUCAGAGCCUCUUUCAUGAUCCUAGGACAGGAGGAGAAUGAGGAAGAUGAGCUUGGAUUUACAUUCUAGCUAGCUGCAUUAGUUCUGUGAAGGAAGAAUACAAAUGAGUGCAGUUGAUGAAGGAGGAUGGUGAAGAAGGAGCAUAAUCUGCUUGUAAUGCAAAUGGACCAUGAGAUUGGAAUGCUCAAACAAAGAAUUUCAAGGAGCUGCUUACAUUGCUGAACUUCCAGUCUGAAGAACUGAAGAGACAUACUGUGCAAGUAAAUUAGCAGCACAACAGUGGAAAUGCUCACUGCAGAAAAUCAGGCAGAACCUGCUAGGACUUGAGGGUAUUUGCAUGUGUACCUAUUAUUGAAAAAGAGAUUUGAUCCAAAUUACUGUGUGAUUUGUGGAAACCUCUGCACCAAAUGACACAUCCACAGCUGCAGCUCUUAGUUACAACUAUUUUGCAUUCGCAGCCUGGUACCUGUUCUCAUGUAAUGCGUUAUUCUUGGCAUUUCACCAUUUCUGUCACUAUGUAUUGUACCAAUUAAGCAACCUGAAGCAAUUAUGCAAUGUAAUCAAGUACUAAAAUUUAUCACUUCACUGAUAAUUUUAAUAUGGGAAAGCCAUUCUGCUUUCUGAUAGCUUCAUUUGAUUUGAACUCCUUUGAAUAAUAAUGAGGUGAAAGAAAGGUCUCUGAGAUAGCGUAUUGUCUUGAAAGCCAAUCUGUGAAGUGGCACUACAGAUCUAGUUCUCCUAAUAAUUUAUUUCAAAUGGCAUUAAACUGUUUUUUGUGUUUUAUGGUGAGUGAAAAAAUA